RNAcentral lists this ribosomal RNA (237 nucleotides) under uncultured bacterium. RNAcentral's name for it is "partial 16S ribosomal RNA". It matches the Rfam family "Bacterial small subunit ribosomal RNA", at positions 118 to 353 of the family's 1533-position model. The record is from RNAcentral.
UGAGCAAUCUGCCCUUCUCUUCGGAAUAAACGUUGGAAACGACGUCUAAUGCCGAAUACGACCUCCUUUCGCAUGAUCGGAGGUGGAAAGCUCCGGCGGAGAAGGAUGAGCUCGCGGCCUAUCAGCUAGUUGGUGUGGGUAAUGGCCCACCAAGGCGACGACGGAUAGCCGGCCUGAGAGGGUGACCGGCCACACUGGGACUGAGACACGGCCCAGACCUCCGUACGGGAGGNAGCG